Molecule: long non-coding RNA, 2612 nt
Filed under: Daphnia pulex (common water flea)
Lineage: Eukaryota; Metazoa; Arthropoda; Branchiopoda; Diplostraca; Daphniidae
Description: uncharacterized LOC124193528
Source: RNAcentral
UUAUUCUGUACUCAUUUUGUCUUUGUUAUAGGCUUUGUUUUUGUCUAUGAUUAUCUAGUAUCGGUGGUAACCAUCUUUCAGCUCGAGACAUCCCAGAGACACCUAGCUUACUCUUACCAAAAUCUUACCUUGACUUUUACGUUUGCCUAUACUUCGCGUUACCUCUUGAAGUCAACAAGCACACAAAUCUCAGAAGGAUUGUUACAGUACGCUUACAAAAAAAAGUGAGACAAGGCUUCUUAAAGGCGGAAUACGUAAAAAAAUCCCCUGUUCACCAGAACAAUACAGUGGGUCUAAUUAGACUCAACUGAAAGUUGUUGGAAUCGGCAAGAAGUAGGACUUAUUUGUAUUCCCUGCCAUUGGAGCUACUAUGAUACUACUAUGAUGUCUAUGUUCUCAACCAUUUGGCAAACAGAACUGUCGAAGGAGGAAAGAGUGUUCCAUUCUUUCCUAUGGAAGUUCCCUAUAAAGUAUGGAAGGGCGUAAUUCUGAAUGUUUCGUUUCCUUCAUCAGUAUUUGGAUCUACGGUAUUUCUACAUAUUAAAAGAGUAUGACACACUAAUUGUACAGGGAGUAAUUGUGAGGCAAAACUUCCGAGGUGAUAGACUGUAUAUUUCAGACCGUAUCGCAUAUCAUGCGCUAGAUCAGACAAAGAAAAGAAACUGAGCUGCCCCAUAGGUUUAAAACCCGUCGUCUUUUCUCUUCUCUUAGCCCAGUUGCCAUAUUCUGCCUGGUGUUGAUUCAGUUCACCACAAGAGAAAAGAGGAUAAAGUCUUAUCCAAAAGCAGUCAUGUGUCAUCAUGUGCUUUAUUAUGAAUCUCAAAAGGCCUUCAGGGCCUGUGAUCCUGUAAGCUGUAAAGUUUUUAUUUCCAGAGACGUUGAUUUCCAAGAACCUUAUGAUCCAGCCAUAGAGACUGAGCAGCCGCGUAGCAUAUUUGACAGGAAAUGAGGCUCUCUCAAGCAUCACUACCUGAUAUAUUCGUUUAACUAGAUAAUAGCAUGCAGAAGGCAGCAGUUUUGUCCAUGGAGUCACAAGAAGUUGUAACACUUAGCAAUUACAAAGUCAACACUGAAGAGAUGACCAGCGAUUUUACGAGUAAUUAAAUACAAGAGCCUUCUCCUAGAAAAGAAUGGGAAGACCACAUGUGAGAUGGAUUGAUGAUUCGUCCAACAAGCUCUCUCAAAACUAGCUGCAGGGAUGUCGUAGAAUAGCCAUAAGACUUCAAGAUUGUCAGUAGUCCCCUCAAAUAUAUGGCAAUUGAAAUGUCGCGGAAGAAAUAAGGGGAUUUUAUAAAUUUCUUUUAGAUGUUGAGCAUGAGCAGAAUGCUUGUUCACAAUGGUUAUAACUAGGUGGAAUAAAAACGAAGCAGCCAACUUGACUGCCCAGCCCUUUCACGAAGAGAGAAUUUGCAUAUAAUAAUCCACUUUUUACCACACAAUCAAUGUUUUGCUCAGGAAUGCAGCUCCCAUUGAUUUUUCCUGCAAAGUCUACGUUUAACUGUCCUCAUUUAUCGUACUGCUGGGUUUGGAAAUUGCUUGGGUGGAAAAGUUCAAUAAAGCUCUGGUUCACAAUUCUUGGGCAUUCGAAUCGGUAAUAUAUUACCAAUUAUAAUAUAACAAUAUAUUACCGAAGGUGACCGAAAGACAACCUCUUACCUCUUGCUUUCCCUUACCUUCAUAGAAAUAAAUGAUCCAUACAUACAAUAUAUGGUUCUGGCUUGGGUGGCAGACGGGUAGUUUUUUGUUGUCCAUUGUUGAUUCUUUAUCAAGAUAUUUAAAACCCCAAUAACACUCUAAAAUCUUAUUUCCAUAAAAACAUCAGAAACAAUUUACGAAAUGUAAAAGGCAACGUGAACCCGAAUGGCGAAAACAUCAUGAGAAGAACAGCACAACCCUUAACAACAACAGUGUAACUCUCAGCACGGGUUUGGUGUUUUUGGCUACAUUAGCUAAUGGCUCUCGCUUAAUGGGGCUAAAGUCGAUAGCUAAUGAAAUUCCUUUGUGGGGUUUUUGGAUUAGCGAAAUAACUCCCUAGCGCUCAAUUAGCGAAGUCACAAAAAAUAGCCAGAAAAUUAUACAAUAAUAUCUUGGUAGUUAUUAUAUAAAAUUUGUUUUCUAUGGAACGGAAUGCCAUGUCUUUCAUAGAAGGUUGAUUUCAUUCCACUGUUUCCAUGAAUAUGAUUCAUGAAAAUCCUUCAUGAACACAGCGGAAUCAUAUAUUUUUCAGAUGCCACGUAAUCGUUUCAAAAAUAGGGGUCACAGACCAUUAAAAAGGAAUCUUGAGGCGGUGGUUUACGUCGAACCCGAAGCAGCAUCCCAGAUUCCUCUGGACCAAAUUCAAGUACAGCUCAAAGUCACACCCCAGAUUCAAUACCAAGGUGCUGGGGCCUAAUUCCCGUUCAACUGAACGCCGUAAAUCCUUAGCCGAGACGGCCGAGAGCCAAAAGGAACAGGGCCCCCAAAAAGAUUUUCACUCCUAGAUACAAGUACUGUGACUGCGCUUGUUCUUUCUUCUGUAGAUAAAUUCAUCGUUUUGAAAUGUUGGAUCACCCAAAAAUAUGUCGCAUGUCCUGUCCCCACCCGCGGCAUGGCCUUAGGGUAUGGGGGACAAA